RNAcentral lists this ribosomal RNA (495 nucleotides) under uncultured bacterium. RNAcentral describes it as "partial 16S ribosomal RNA". It matches the Rfam family "Bacterial small subunit ribosomal RNA", at positions 28 to 507 of the family's 1533-position model. The record is from RNAcentral.
GACGAACGCUGGCGGCGUGCCUAAUACAUGCAAGUAGAACGCUGAAGGAGGAGCUUGCUUCUCUGGAUGAGUUGCGAACGGGUGAGUAACGCGUAGGUAACCUGCCUGGUAGCGGGGGAUAACUAUUGGAAACGAUAGCUAAUACCGCAUAAGAGUAGAUGUUGCAUGACAUUUGCUUAAAAGGUGCAAUUGCAUCACUACCAGAUGGACCUGCGUUGUAUUAGCUAGUUGGUGGGGUGACGGCUCACCAAGGCGACGAUACAUAGCCGACCUGAGAGGGUGAUCGGCCACACUGGGACUGAGACACGGCCCAGACUCCUACGGGAGGCAGCAGUAGGGAAUCUUCGGCAAUGGACGGAAGUCUGACCGAGCAACGCCGCGUGAGUGAAGAAGGUUUUCGGAUCGUAAAGCUCUGUUGUAAGAGAAGAACGAGUGUGAGAGUGGAAAGUUCACACUGUGACGGUAUCUUACCAGAAAGGGACGGCUAACUACGUG